Ictalurus punctatus (channel catfish) is the source of this 1227-nucleotide RNA transcript. It is a transcript of the gene named E3 ubiquitin-protein ligase UBR2-like, with no coding region annotated. The transcript has 6 exons. NCBI's taxonomy places the organism in Eukaryota, Metazoa, Chordata, Actinopteri, Siluriformes, Ictaluridae. The record is from RefSeq and is a predicted model, not a curated record.
GUGAGACUAGCUCGGGUUGGCAUCUCUGGCGUUGUGUAAAGGCAGGCAUCCUGCCCUUCCUCAGAGGAGCCGCACUGUUCUUCCACCAUCUCAAUGGAGUUCCCACUUUGCCUGAGCUUGACGGUGGUGCUCACAUCCAGGCAUGCAACAAUGUCUCCAGUCACCUGAAACCCUUAUAAGUUUUCCUCGGGAAUCCAAUAAUCUAAUUGAUUUACCAGAGGAUUACUGUGCACUGAUCAACCAGGCUUUCAGCUUCACGUGAGUCUGUCCUAAGUCAGAUGGAGUUAAGUCUUGAGCUCAAACUCUGUGCUUGGUGUGUGGCACGAUGCUGUCUUCUCAGAGCAGCUGCUGCCAGACUGAGCUGGAGGGGUGAGGGAGAAUCAGGUUCUUUUCCUGUACCUCGAUGACUAUGGAGAACUGUCCAAGGGCUCAGAUGGAGGAACAUGCUACACAAAGAUUCAGACUCUCUGGCGCCAGCACAACAUCACAGAGGAGAUGGGUCAUGCACAGGAAGCUAAUCAGACUCUGGAGGACAUUGACUGGGAGAUCCUGGAUAUUCUUGGCUAAUGCAGAAUCUAAACUAACCAGGGAUCUGCACAUUUACCUAGAAAUAGUGCAGAAUCUUGAACAUCAAUUAUUGAAAAUGUUGAACAUUUCCUUUUUUUUUUUUUUUACAUUUCAAAAUUCUAAAAACUUGUUUAUUUCUAAUUUUAAAUAAAAAAAAUUCUUAAUCAAAAUAGACAAAUGUCAUAUUCUGAGAUAUUUCUAAAAGAAGUUCAGUGAUCCAUAACUAAUGGAUGCUGUAAUGUACAACUGUUCUGAGCACAUUUUCUGUUUUUCACUUGCAGCCUACAGCCAAAAUCCCCAGUACUGACUGAACACAUCAAAUGCUGAGUUUACUUUUACAGUCUUGAAUUAACACCUCUGCUAACUGCGUCAUCACCUACAGUGCUGAACUGACAGUUUACUUAACAGCCAUAAUGCUCACUGUUUACAAUACGAAUUAAAGAUUAUAUAAACCCUGGAAUUGUGAAUUAAGCACACGUUUGGUUAAAAGAUGGUGAAAAAAAUAAUUGGUUUAUCACUCGUUGGUUUUGUAAAUAAGGCUUGGUGAAAAUUAGGUUUAAGCUCUGUUUGUGCCACAGGCUAUAUACCUUUCCUCUAAUUUGUUUUCACUGGAUGUGUACUGUUUUACAAUCUAAGGGCUUUGUUUGCAUCUAUAAUGAU